This 484-nucleotide ribosomal RNA is filed under the name uncultured bacterium. Its description in RNAcentral is "bacterial SSU rRNA". It matches the Rfam family "Bacterial small subunit ribosomal RNA", at positions 28 to 499 of the family's 1533-position model. The record is from RNAcentral.
GAUGAACGCUAGCGAUAGGCCUAACACAUGCAAGUCGAGGGGCAUCACAUGAAGUAGCAAUACGGAUGGUGGCGACCGGCGCACGGGUGAGUAACACGUAUGCAACCUGCCUUCAACAAGGGGAUAACCCGUUGAAAGACGGACUAAUACCCUAUAACACAGGGGUCCCGCAUGGGAAUAUUUGUUAAAGGACAACCGGUUGAAGAUGGGCAUGCGUUCCAUUAGCUAGUUGGCGGGGUAACGGCCCACCAAGGCAACGAUGGAUAGGGGAACUGAGAGGUUUAUCCCCCACACUGGUACUGAGACACGGACCAGACUCCUACGGGAGGCAGCAGUGAGGAAUAUUGGUCAAUGGACGCAAGUCUGAACCAGCCACGUUCGCGUGAAGGAAGACGGCCCUACGGGUUGUAAACUUCUUUUAUACGGGGAAUAAAGUGCCCCACGCGUGGGGUUUUGCAUGUACCGUAUGAAUAAGGAUCGGCUA